AAGCCCUUACUCACAUGAGCAGUCCCACAUAAGUCCUCAAGGUGAGUAAGGGCUGCG
RNAcentral lists this microRNA precursor (57 nucleotides) under Chrysemys picta bellii (western painted turtle). RNAcentral's name for it is "Cpi-Novel-1_pre stem-loop". The record is from RNAcentral. Lineage: Eukaryota; Metazoa; Chordata; Testudines; Emydidae.